UACCUGCAGCUCAAGUGGUGGCCGCUAUUAUUGGGCCUAAAACGUCCGUAGCCUGUUUGGUAAAUGCCUGGGUAAAUCGUGUCGCUUAACGAUACGAAUUCCGGGUAGACUGCCAGGCUUGAGACCGGGAGAGGCUAGAGGUACUCCUGGGGUAGAGGUGAAAUUCUGUAAUCCUAGGGGGACCACCAGUGGCGAAAGCGUCUGGCCAGAACGGGUCUGACGGUGAGGGACGAAGCCCUGGGGCGCGAACCGGAUUAGAUACCCGGGUAGUCCAGGGUGUAAACGCUGCUCGCUUGAUGUUAGCCAGGCUCCGAGCCUAGCUAGUGUCGGAGAGAAGUUGUUAAGCGAGCUGCCUGGGAAGUACGGUCGCAAGACUAGAAACUUAAAGGAAUUGGCGGGGGAGCACAGCAACGGGUGGAGCGUGCGGUUU
Molecule: ribosomal RNA, 430 nt
Filed under: uncultured archaeon
Lineage: Archaea
Description: bacterial SSU rRNA
Rfam family: Archaeal small subunit ribosomal RNA
Source: RNAcentral